GGUGCUGACGAGUGGCGAACGGGUGAGUAAUACAUCGGAACGUGCCCGAUCGUGGGGGAUAACGCAGCGAAAGCUGUGCUAAUACCGCAUACGAUCUACGGAUGAAAGCGGGGGAUCGCAAGACCUCGCGCGGACGGAGCGGCCGAUGGCAGUAUUAGGUAGUUGGUGGGGUAAAGGCCUACCAAGCCGACGAUCUGUAGCUGGUCUGAGAGGACGACNAGGNCACACUGGGACUGAGACACGGCCCAGACUCCNACGGGAGGCAGCAGUGGGGAAUUUUGGACAAUGGGCGCAAGCCUGAUCCAGCCAUGCCGCGUGCAGUNAUAGAAGGCCUUCGGGUUGNAAACUGCGNUUNGUACGGAAUCGAUAAAGCCAGUGUUCUUUUAAUCACAGUGNAACUCGAUGACGGUACNGUANGAAUAAGCUACCGGCUAACUACGUGGANCAGCAUGCCNCGGUAAUACGUAGGGUNCGAGCGUCUAAUCGGACAUNACUGGGCGUCANANCNUGCGCAGGCGGUGAUGUAAGNCAGANGUGAAGAUCCCCGGGCUCAACCUGGGAACUGCCUUUGUGACUGCAUCNNNUGGAGUGCGGCANAGGGGGAUGGAAUUNCGCGUGU
This 619-nucleotide ribosomal RNA is filed under the name Pseudacidovorax sp. Its description in RNAcentral is "partial 16S ribosomal RNA". It matches the Rfam family "Bacterial small subunit ribosomal RNA", at positions 84 to 676 of the family's 1533-position model. Lineage: Bacteria; Pseudomonadati; Pseudomonadota; Betaproteobacteria; Burkholderiales; Comamonadaceae. The record is from RNAcentral.